RNAcentral lists this ribosomal RNA (580 nucleotides) under uncultured rumen bacterium. Its description in RNAcentral is "bacterial SSU rRNA". It matches the Rfam family "Bacterial small subunit ribosomal RNA", at positions 217 to 794 of the family's 1533-position model. The record is from RNAcentral.
GCUACCGGAUUGGCUCGCGUGCCAUUAGCUAGUUGGCGGGGUAACGGCCCACCAAGGCGACGAUGGCUAGGGGUUCUGAGAGGAAGGUCCCCCACAUUGGAACUGAGACACGGUCCAGACUCCUACGGGAGGCAGCAGUGAGGAAUAUUGGUCAAUGGCCGAGAGGCUGAACCAGCCAUGCCGCGUGCGGGAGGACGGCCCUAUGGGUUGUAAACCGCUUUUGUCAGGGGGCAAUAAGGUCCACGUGUGGACUGAUGAGAGUACCUGGCGAAUAAGCAUCGGCUAACUCCGUGCCAGCAGCCGCGGUAAUACGGAGGAUGCAAGCGUUAUCCGGAUUUAUUGGGUUUAAAGGGUGCGUAGGCGGGCUUUUAAGCGUGAGGUGAAAUGCCUGGGCUCAACCUGGGAACUGCCUCGCGAACUGGAGGCCUUGAAUGUCCGUGCCGUGGGAGGAAUGUGUGGUGUAGCGGUGAAAUGCAUAGAGAUCACACAGAACACCGAUUGCGAAGGCAUCUCACGAACGGAUGAUUGACGCUGAGGCACGAAAGCGUGGGGAUCAAACAGGAUUAGAUACCCUGGUAGU